This is a long non-coding RNA of Oxyura jamaicensis (ruddy duck), 2176 nucleotides long. RefSeq lists it as uncharacterized. The record is from RefSeq and is a predicted model, not a curated record. Lineage: Eukaryota; Metazoa; Chordata; Aves; Anseriformes; Anatidae. The transcript has 2 exons.
UGGGGUGGUUGGGUCAUUGAUGGGGUCAUUGAUGAGGUCAUUGGGUCAUUGAUGGGGUCGUUGGGUCGUUGGUGGGGUAUUUGGGUCGUUGAUGGGGUCGUAGGGUCAUUGAUGGGGUCGUUGGGUCAUUGAUGGGGUGGUUGGGUCAUUGAUGGGGUCAUUGAUGAGGUCAUAGAGUUGUUGAUGGGGUCAUUGGGUCGUUGGUGGGGUAUUUGGGUCGUUGAUGGGGUCGUAGGGUCAUUGAUGGGGUCGUUGAUGGGGUGGUUGGGUCAUUAAUGGGGUCGUUGGGUCUUUGAUGGGGUGGUUGGGUCAUUGAUGGGGUCGUGGGUCAUUGAUGGGCUCGUUGGGUCGUUGAUGGGGUCGUUGAUGAGGUCAUAGGGUUGUUGAUGGGGUCAUUGGGUCAUUGAUGGGGUUGUUGGGUCAUUGAUGGGGUGGUUGAGUCAUUGAUGGGGUCGUGGGUCAUUGACGGGCUCGUUGGGUCGUUGAUGGGGUCGUUGAUGAGGUCAUUGGGUCAUUGAUGGGGUCAUUGGGUCUUUGGUGGGGUCGUUGGGUCAUUGAUGGGGUCGUUGGGUCAUUGAUGGGGUCAUUGGGUCUUUGAUGGGUUGGUUGGGUCAUUGAUGGGGUCAUUGAUUGGGUCGUUGGGUCGCUGAUGGGGUGGUUGGGUCAUUAAUGGGGUCGUUGAUGGGGUCAUUGGGUCAUUGAUGGGGUCGUUGAUGGGGUCGUUGGGUCGUUGAUGGGGUCGUUGAUGGGGUCGUUGGGUCGUUGAUGGGGUCAUUGAUGGGGUAAUUGGGUUGUUGAUGGAGUAAUUAGGUCGUUGAUGGGGUCACUGAUGAAGUAAUUAGGUCAGUGAUGGGGUUAAGUUGGGUCAUUAAGGGGUCAGUUGGGUCAUUAAGGGGUCGACUGGGUCAUUGAUGAGAUCGCUGAUGAGCUCCUGGGGUCGUUGAUGUGGUCGCUGGGUCGUUAAUGGGGUCGUCGGGUUGUUAAUGGGGUGGUUGGGUCAUUAAUGGGGUCAUGGGGUCGUUAAUGGGGUCGUUGAUGGGGUCGUUGGGUCCUUAAUGGGGUCAUCGGGUUGUUAAUGGGGUGGUUGGGUCAUUAAUGGGGUCAUGGGGUCGUUAAUGGGGUCGUUGAUGAGGUCGUUGGGUUGUUAAUGGGUGGUGGGGUCGUUAGCGGGGUGGUGGGGUCGUUAGCGGGGUGGUGGGGUGGGACAUGCAGUCAUUGGAUGGGUGCCGGGCACGUUGACAGCUGAUUGGCUGCUCGAGCUGGCGGGUGAGUGCCUGGGAGGUGGCUGAGUCACGAUUGGCCGGGUGCUUGGAGGGGCAGUUGGCUGAUUGGCUGGUUAGCUGGGGGGGGCAGCUGAUUGGCCGGUUGGGUCAGCGGGUGAUUGGCUGGGAGGUUGGGUAGUCAGGGGGUUGGUUGGGCAGGUGAUGAGUCAUGUGGGUGGGUAGCUAGCUGAUUGGUUGGUUAGUUGGGUGGGUGAUGAGACGGAUAGGUAGUUAGUUGGGUGAUUGGCUGGUUCGUUAGCUCCGCGACGGGUCAAUUAGCCGAGCAAUGGGUUGAUUAGUUGGGCUGUUAGCUGAUCAGCUGGGCGAUGGGUUGGUUGGCUGGCUGGUUAACGGGUUAGUUAGGUGGCCAGUUAGCUGGUUGGAUGGAUGGCAGUUAGGUGAGAGUGGUUAGUUAGCUCGUUAGUUGGCUGGUCAGCUGGUUAAUUAGCUGGCUGGGUGGGCAGUGGUUAGCUGGUUGGUUGCUGAGCUGCUCGGAUGGGCGGCUGGUUGGCUGGUUGAGUGACUAGUUAGCUGGUUGGCUGAGCGGUUAGCUGGUUGGGUGGGUGGGUGGUUAGCUGGUUGGGUGGACGGGUAGGUCAUUAGAUGACUGGUUAACUAGCUGUUUGGGUGGGUGGUUAGCUGGUUGGGUGGUUAGCUGGUUGGGUGGUUGGGUGGUUGGUUGUUUAACCGGGUGGGUGGUUAGCUGGUUGGGUGGUUGGUUAGCUGGCUGGCUGGGUGGUGGUUAGCUGGUUGGAUGAGUAGUUAGUGGGUUAGUCAGGCAGGUAAUGGCGUUGCCUCGGAUGCGCGGUGGGAAUGGGCUGGAGCCGCUCCUGCCCCCUCACGGACCCCCACCAUGCGACCCACCUCCGGGGCACCUUCACCCCCACGGGGGUGGGACAACCCCACCCCACCCC